AAGUCGUAACAAGGUUUCCGUAGGUGAACCUGGCAGGAAGGAUCAUUACCGAGUUCUCCUGCUCUGCAGGAACUCCCACCCUUGAUUACUAUAGACGUUGCUUCGGCGAGACGUCUGGAAACAGCCUAUUGACCGUCUCACGUCGAUGCGUGCUCGCCGGAGUUUCAUACUCUACAUUAUGUGUCGUCUAGAGAAUCAAAAAUCUAAAAAA
RNAcentral lists this unclassified non-coding RNA (211 nucleotides) under plant metagenome. RNAcentral's name for it is "partial contains small subunit ribosomal RNA and internal transcribed spacer 1". The record is from RNAcentral.